ACGCUGGCGGCAGGCCUAACACAUGCAAGUCGAGCGGUAGAGAGAAGCUUGCUUCUCUUGAGAGCGGCGGACGGGUGAGUAAUCCCUAGGAAUCUGCCUGGUAGUGGGGGAUAACGUCCGGAAACGGACGCUAAUACCGCAUACGUCCUACGGGAGAAAGCAGGGGACCUUCGGGCCUUGCGCUAUCAGAUGAGCCUAGGUCGGAUUAGCUAGUUGGUGGGGUAAUGGCUCACCAAGGCGACGAUCCGUAACUGGUCUGAGAGGAUGAUCAGUCACACUGGAACUGAGACACGGUCCAGACUCCUACGGGAGGCAGCAGUGGGGAAUAUUGGACAAUGGGCGAAAGCCUGAUCCAGCCAUGCCGCGUGUGUGAAGAAGGUCUUCGGAUUGUAAAGCACUUUAAGUUGGGAGGAAGGGCAGUAAAUUAAUACUUUGCUGUUUUGACGUUACCGACAGAAUAAGCACCGGCUAACUCUGUGCCAGCAGCCGCGGUAAUACAGAGGGUGCAAGCGUUAAUCGGAAUUACUGGGCGUAAAGCGCGCGUAGGUGGUUCGUUAAGUUGGAUGUGAAAUCCCCGGGCUCAACCUGGGAACUGCAUUCAAGCUGACGAGCUAGAGUAUGGUAGAGGGGUGGUGGAAUUUCCUGUGUAGCGG
This 653-nucleotide ribosomal RNA is filed under the name uncultured bacterium. Its description in RNAcentral is "bacterial SSU rRNA". It matches the Rfam family "Bacterial small subunit ribosomal RNA", at positions 33 to 681 of the family's 1533-position model. The record is from RNAcentral.